RNAcentral lists this transfer RNA (93 nucleotides) under Drosophila guanche. RNAcentral describes it as "tRNA.Tyr". It matches the Rfam family "tRNA". From Rfam's summary of the family: Transfer RNA (tRNA) molecules are approximately 80 nucleotides in length. The record is from RNAcentral. Lineage: Eukaryota; Metazoa; Arthropoda; Insecta; Diptera; Drosophilidae.
CCUUCGAUAGCUCAGUUGGUAGAGCGGUGGACUGUAGAAAGUUUAGUGCCGGAAGAUAUCCAUAGGUCGCUGGUUCAAAUCCGGCUCGAAGGA